UGACCCAGGGGAAUGGCCGGCUUAGGAGGCCUCUGUCAGUCUUCAUUUCUGAUGCUCCUGACUCCUAGGUCUCGCUGCUUGGUAGAAAGCUUAUAGGAAGAAAUGUCUGGAAACAGCUGAUUGGCUCAGGAUGAUCACAUUGUUUUGUGUAGUCCACACUGGGAUCAGUGCCACUGUCCAGGGCUGACAGUGGCCUGUGGCUGCUCUGGGAAAGCUUUUCUUCAGGUUAAAGAAGAGAACUUGAGGGAACUGAACUCCUCAGAACCCAGAUCCACACCCUCCCCAAGCCCACACUGCUGCAUCCAUCCUUCAUCCUCUUUGUUGAGCAUCUCCAUGAUGCGGUUUGUAACAACUUGUCCCCUGUGGUUUGCCAUCGCCCUGGGAAUGGCUCACAUCGAUACCUGCUCAUGAUGGAAACGAAGAGUUUACUGAUAACAUUUUCCCACGAUCAUAACAUUUUAUAUGAGUUCUUCUGCAUGUGUUAGUUUUCAAACCCAAUUUCCUAGGCAAAAAUGUAACUUCUACCUCAAAACAACUCAACGAAGCAGGUAAAACAGGGCUGCUUUUUUUCUCCUGGAAAGGCAAACAAAGGGAGAGUGACUUGCCCAAAGUCUUCAGCUUCUAAGUGUCAAUGCUUGGACUUUCUCCAUCAGGAUCAAACAUCAUCACACUCUAUUCCCAAUGUCUUGUGACUUCCCGUAACUUCCCAGAACUGAGGAAUCCAUCCUUGUGAGAAACGAGGAAGCCCCUCAUAGGGAAGAUAAAGUGAAUCUGGCUUCCUCAAGACUCUCUAUGACAAGCAGCACAAACUUCACCCAUAGGUGCAGCAGAGCAGCAGAGGAGUUGACACGGUGGUGACCGCUUAGCUGUGGAUAACAACGGUCUCCUCACUGCAGACAGACUGCUGCUUUCACAUGAACGUGGUGAGGGCUUGGACUUCUGGUGUUAACAUCUAACGCCUCAGCUACAGUGCACUGCCUCAUAGUUUACCUUUAAGGCAAAUCUAUUUGAUGAGGAGUGAAAACUGAAAGCCAAGAUUAUUAUUUUAGAAUAGGUGCAAUACAAGAAAUGUUCUUCUGUUUCUUCCAUAAAGAAUUUAAUUUAUAUGUGUGGCAUACGUGUGCACGCACGUGUCUCUGUGUGUAUCGAGGCCAGAGAGGUUUGCAGUGGGUGUCUUCCUUUCUCACCUCCACCUUGGGUUUUUUAUGGUUUGUUUUGUUUUGUUUUGCUUUGUUUUGAGACAGUGUCUCUGUGUAGCUC
Molecule: long non-coding RNA, 1260 nt
Organism: Mus caroli (Ryukyu mouse)
Lineage: Eukaryota; Metazoa; Chordata; Mammalia; Rodentia; Muridae
Source: RefSeq, a predicted model, not a curated record